CUCUCUUUGGACCUGGCCUGACCUUGUGACUUGCUUGGAUCGACAGAAUGCAGUGAAGGUGACCUUCUGGAUUUCUGAGCCUGGGCCUGGCAACUUCUGCUUCACUUCUUGGGAGCCAGCUGCUUUGAAAGAAAAUUGAGCAAGACAGCUGAAAGAUAUGUAGAGAGAGAAGCCAAGAGAGUGCCCAGCUAUUCCAGUUACACCCACAGACUCACCAAAUGUAUGAGUGAAGCCAUCUUGGACUUUCCAGCUGAGCUCCCAGCUAAAGGCAGCUGCAAGGGUGAUCCCAGCUGAUGCCAUGUGAAACAGAAGAACCAUCUACCUGAGCCCAGCCAAGUUCUGCAGUGUCUGAAGCUACAUAUGCCAGAGGCCCCUGGCUUGGGAGGGAGGAGAGCUGUUUUACUCCCAACACAACUCAGACAAAGCUAACCACGUGAUGCUGCUGCUGCUGGUGUAAGGAUCUUGGAUAAGGCUGCAUCUCCUUGGCGGAGGCACUGCAGUCCAGUGAGCAUCAGGGAAGACUGGACCACUGAUUCUCUGACUUCCUGUUGAACCACUGAUAGGAUCAAGUGGACUUGUUGGCUUAUUGGUGCUCAGAGAUAUUGAGGAUCCCCAAUAGAUCCUUUCCACAGAAUUGUGUAAAACUUCAGAACAUGUACAUUGUCAUUUAUGCUUUAUUUUGUCAAAUAAUUUUUGCCAUCUGUAUCAGAGUUGGCAAACUGUGGCCUGGGGGUCAAAUCCAGCCCACUGACUGUUUUCAUAAAGCCUGCCAGCCAAGAAUGGCUUUUAUUUAAAAAAAAAUGGUUGAAGAAUAAUCAAAAGAAGAGUAAUAUUUUAUGGCACAUGAGCAUUAUAUAAAAUUUAAAUUUCAGUGUUCACAGAUAAAGUUUUAUUGGAAGACAGCCAAGUUCAUUUGUUUACAUAUUGUCUAUGACUGCUUUCAUGACACAAUAGCAGAGUUGACGGAGACCAUGUGGCCCACAAAGCCAAAAAUAUUUACUGUCUGGUCCUUUUCAGAAAAAGUUUGCCAACCCCUUAUGUAUAUGAUGACUUCAACCUGCAAGUAUAGAAUAAAGACAGUGAGAUAACCUGCAAAGUCCUCAUGAAGAGAAAAGGCAUGCGUUGAAGAUGGCCGAAUAGGAACAACUCCAGUCUCCAACUCCCAGCGCGAGCGACACAGAAGACCGGUGAUUUCUGCAUU
Rhinopithecus roxellana (golden snub-nosed monkey) is the source of this 1201-nucleotide long non-coding RNA. RefSeq lists it as uncharacterized. Lineage: Eukaryota; Metazoa; Chordata; Mammalia; Primates; Cercopithecidae. The record is from RefSeq and is a predicted model, not a curated record. The transcript is spliced from 3 exons.